AAAGUCGUAACAAGGUUUCCGUAGGUGAACCUGUUGAAGGAUCAUUG
This 47-nucleotide ribosomal RNA is filed under the name Juglans regia (Persian walnut). Its description in RNAcentral is "18S ribosomal RNA". It matches the Rfam family "Eukaryotic small subunit ribosomal RNA", at positions 1785 to 1831 of the family's 1831-position model. The record is from RNAcentral. Lineage: Eukaryota; Viridiplantae; Streptophyta; Magnoliopsida; Fagales; Juglandaceae.